CACCGGUUGAGAGCAAGUCAUUCAGCCAGCCCGAGGCAAGAGUUUGAGAAGCGUCUCUCUCCGUCCACCUGCCCGCAGAGUUCACAGUUGCACUUCCUAACCAUGUCUGCGGUGGCUUCUCUGCAAUAAGCAAAGCAAAGGUUAUGCUGCCCAAAAGUUGCCUGAGUCCCAGCGAGAAAGAGAAGGGCUAACCCCUGCCGUAACUCAUCCCCCAACAGUUUCCCG
Molecule: long non-coding RNA, 225 nt
Organism: Hippocampus comes (tiger tail seahorse)
Lineage: Eukaryota; Metazoa; Chordata; Actinopteri; Syngnathiformes; Syngnathidae
Exons: 3
Source: RefSeq, a predicted model, not a curated record